UACGAAGGGGGCUAGCGUUGCUCGGAAUUACUGGGCGUAAAGCGCACGUAGGCGGUCUUUUAAGUCGGGGGUGAAAUCCUGGAGCUCAACUCCAGAACUGCCUUCGAUACUGGAAGACUUGAGUCCGGGAAAGGGUGAGUGGAACUGCGAGUGUAGAGGUGAAAUUCGUAGAUAUUCGCAAGAACACCAGUGGCGAAGGCGGCUCACUGGCCCGGUACUGACGCUGAGGUGCGAAAGCGUGGGGAGCAAACAGG
This 254-nucleotide ribosomal RNA is filed under the name uncultured bacterium. RNAcentral's name for it is "partial 16S ribosomal RNA". It matches the Rfam family "Bacterial small subunit ribosomal RNA", at positions 524 to 776 of the family's 1533-position model. The record is from RNAcentral.